GAUGAAGAACGUAGCGAAAUGCGAUACUUGGUGUGAAUUGCAGAAUCCCGUGAACCAUCGAGUCUUUGAACGCAAGUUGCGCCCGAAGCCAUUAGGCCGAGGGCACGCCUGCCUGGGCGUCACACGUCGUUGCCCCCCCCAUCUACUCCUUCGGGAUUGCGGGGGGCGGAUGAUGGCCUCCCGUGCGCCUCGCCGCGCGGUUGGCAUAAAUGCCAAGUCCUCGGCGACGCACGCCACGACAAUCGGUGGUUGCGAAACCUCGGUUGCCUGUCGUGUGCGGUCGUCGCGCAUCGAGGGCUCGAAAAAAUUGCCGGGCUUCGGCUCGACUUUCAACGCGACCCCAGGUCAGGCGGGGUUACCCGCUGAAUUUAAGCAUAUCAAUAAGCGGAGGA
RNAcentral lists this unclassified non-coding RNA (392 nucleotides) under soil metagenome. RNAcentral describes it as "partial contains 5.8S ribosomal RNA, internal transcribed spacer 2, and large subunit ribosomal RNA". The stretch from base 1 to 122 matches the Rfam family "5.8S ribosomal RNA", at positions 35 to 154 of the family's 154-position model. The record is from RNAcentral.